CCUACGGGAGGCAGCAGUGAGGAAUAUUGGUCAAUGGGCGCGAGCCUGAACCAGCCAAGUCGCGUGAGGGAUGACGGUCCUACGGAUUGUAAACCUCUUUUGCCGGGGAGCAAGCGUGCGUUCGUGAACGCGCUUCGAUGUUACCCGGAGAAAAAGCCUCGGCUAACGCCGUGCCCGCCGCCGCGGUAAGACGAGGGAUGCGAGCUUUUGCCGGAUUUAUUGGGUUUAAAGGGUGCGUAGGCGGGAUGCUAAGUCAGCGGUAAAAAUGCGGUGCUCAACGCCGUCGAGCCGUUGAAACUGGCGUUCUUGAGUGGGCGAGAAGUAUGCGGAAUGAGUGGUGUAGCGGUGAAAUGCAUAGAUAUCACGCAGAACUCAGAUUGCGAAGGCAGCAUACCGGAGCCCUACUGACGCUGAGGCACGAAAGCGUGGGUAUCGAACAGGAUUAGAUACCCUUGUAGUC
RNAcentral lists this ribosomal RNA (460 nucleotides) under uncultured bacterium. RNAcentral's name for it is "partial 16S ribosomal RNA". It matches the Rfam family "Bacterial small subunit ribosomal RNA", at positions 338 to 795 of the family's 1533-position model. The record is from RNAcentral.